GAUGAACGCUGGCGGCGUGCCUAAUACAUGCAAGUCGAGCGAACAGAUGAGGAGCUUGCUCCUUUGACGUUAGCGGCGGACGGGUGAGUAACACGUGGGUAACCUACCUAUAAGACUGGGAUAACUUCGGGAAACCGGAGCUAAUACCGGAUAAUAUUUUGAACCGCAUGGUUCAAUAGUGAAAGAUGGCUUUGCUAUCACUUAUAGAUGGACCUGCGCCGUAUUAGCUAGUUGGUAAGGUAACGGCUUACCAAGGCAACGAUACGUAGCCGACCUGAGAGGGUGAUCGGCCACACUGGAACUGAGACACGGUCCAGACUCCUACGGGAGGCAGCAGUAGGGAAUCUUCCGCAAUGGGCGAAAGCCUGACGGAGCAACGCCGCGUGAGUGAUGAAGGUCUUCGGAUCGUAAAACUCUGUUAUUAGGGAAGAACAAACGUGUAAGUAACUGUGCACGUCUUGACGGUACCUAAUCAGAAAGCCACGGCUAACUACGUG
RNAcentral lists this ribosomal RNA (497 nucleotides) under uncultured bacterium. Its description in RNAcentral is "partial 16S ribosomal RNA". It matches the Rfam family "Bacterial small subunit ribosomal RNA", at positions 28 to 507 of the family's 1533-position model. The record is from RNAcentral.